This 495-nucleotide ribosomal RNA is filed under the name uncultured bacterium. RNAcentral's name for it is "partial 16S ribosomal RNA". It matches the Rfam family "Bacterial small subunit ribosomal RNA", at positions 28 to 507 of the family's 1533-position model. The record is from RNAcentral.
GAUGAACGCUGGCGGCGUGCCUAAUACAUGCAAGUAGAACGCUGAAGGAGGAGCUUGCUCUUCUGGAUGAGUUGCGAACGGGUGAGUAACGCGUAGGUAACCUGCCUGGUAGCGGGGGAUAACUAUUGGAAACGAUAGCUAAUACCGCAUGACAACAGUUAUUGCAUGAUAACUGUUUAAAAGGGGCAACUGCUCCACUACCAGAUGGACCUGCGUUGUAUUAGCUAGUGGGUGAGGUAACGGCUCACCAAGGCGACGAUACAUAGCCGACCUGAGAGGGUGAUCGGCCACACUGGGACUGAGACACGGCCCAGACUCCUACGGGAGGCAGCAGUAGGGAAUCUUCGGCAAUGGACGGAAGUCUGACCGAGCAACGCCGCGUGAGUGAAGAAGGGUUUCGGAUCGUAAAGCUCUGUUGUAAGAGAAGAACGAGUGUGAGAGUGGAAAGUUCACACUGUGACGGUAGCUUACCAGAAAGGGACGGCUAACUACGUG